UGUUUAAAAAUAGAUUUGAACUAUUAACCCAAAGAUUUUCAGUCUUUUGCUCUACCUAUUGAGCUAUUUAAAC
This 73-nucleotide transfer RNA is filed under the name Melosira undulata. RNAcentral describes it as "tRNA-Phe". The record is from RNAcentral. Lineage: Eukaryota; Bacillariophyta; Melosirophyceae; Melosirales; Melosiraceae.